RNAcentral lists this ribosomal RNA (433 nucleotides) under uncultured bacterium. RNAcentral describes it as "partial 16S ribosomal RNA". It matches the Rfam family "Bacterial small subunit ribosomal RNA", at positions 29 to 507 of the family's 1533-position model. The record is from RNAcentral.
AACGAACGCUGGCGGCAUGCCUAACACAUGCAAGUCGAACGAGACCUUCGGGUCUAGUGGCGCACGGGUGCGUAACGCGUGGGAACCUGCCCUUAGGUUCGGAAUAACUCCCCGAAAGGGGUGCUAAUACCGGAUAAUGUCUUCGGACCAAAGAUUUAUCGCCUUUGGAUGGGCCCGCGUUGGAUUAGCUAGUUGGUAGGGUAAAAGCCUACCAAGGCGACGAUCCAUAGCUGGUCUGAGAGGAUGAUCAGCCACACUGGGACUGAGACACGGCCCAGACUCCUACGGGAGGCAGCAGUGGGGAAUAUUGGAGAAGGGGCGAAAGUCUGAUCCAGCAAUGCCGGGUGAGUGAGGAAGGCCUUAGGGUUGUAAAGCUCUUUUACCCGGGAUGAUAAUGACAGUACCGGGAGAAUAAGCACCGGCUAACUACGUG